RNAcentral lists this ribosomal RNA (500 nucleotides) under uncultured bacterium. RNAcentral describes it as "partial 16S ribosomal RNA". It matches the Rfam family "Bacterial small subunit ribosomal RNA", at positions 30 to 523 of the family's 1533-position model. The record is from RNAcentral.
AUUGAACGCUGGCGGCAGGCCUAACACAUGCAAGUCGAGCGGAUGAAGGUAGCUUGCUACCUGAUUCAGCGGCGGACGGGUGAGUAAUGCCUAGGAAUCUGCCUGGUAGUGGGGGACAACGUUUCGAAAGGAACGCUAAUACCGCAUACGUCCUACGGGAGAAAGUGGGGGAUCUUCGGACCUCACGCUAUCAGAUGAGCCUACGUCGGAUUAGCUAGUUGGUAGGGUAAAGGCCUACCAAGGCGACGAUCCGUAGCUGGUUUGAGAGGAUGAUCAGCCACACUGGGACUGAGACACGGCCCAGACUCCUACGGGAGGCAGCAGUGGGGAAUAUUGGACAAUGGGCGAAAGCCUGAUCCAGCAAUGCCGCGUGUGUGAAGAAGGCCUGCGGGUUGUAAAGCACUUUUAUCGGGAAAGAAAAGCUUGGGGCUAAUAUCUCCAAGCCUUGACGGUACCCGUUGAAUAAGCACCGGCUAACUCCGUGCCAGCCGCCGCCGUAA